AGCGCAACCCUUAUCCUUUGUUGCCAGCGGUUAGGCCGGGAACUCAAAGGAGACUGCCAGUGAUAAACUGGAGGAAGGUGGGGAUGACGUCAAGUCAUCAUGGCCCUUACGACCAGGGCUACACACGUGCUACAAUGGCGCAUACAAAGAGAAGCGACCUCGCGAGAGCAAGCGGACCUCAUAAAGUGCGUCGUAGUCCGGAUUGGAGUCUGCAACUCGACUCCAUGAAGUCGGAAUCGCUAGUAAUCGUGGAUCAGAAUGCCACGGUGAAUACGUUCCCGGGCCUUGUACACACCGCCCGUCACACCAUGGGAGUGGGUUGCAAAAGAAGUAGGUAGCUUAACCUUCGGGAGGGCGCUUACCACUUUGUGAUUCAUGACUGGGGUGAAGUCGUAACAAGGUAACCGUAGGGGAACCUGC
This 420-nucleotide ribosomal RNA is filed under the name Salmonella enterica subsp. enterica serovar Bareilly. RNAcentral describes it as "partial 16S ribosomal RNA". It matches the Rfam family "Bacterial small subunit ribosomal RNA", at positions 1095 to 1515 of the family's 1533-position model. RNAcentral also lists the same sequence under 2 other names. Lineage: Bacteria; Pseudomonadati; Pseudomonadota; Gammaproteobacteria; Enterobacterales; Enterobacteriaceae. The record is from RNAcentral.